UUGUUUUUAUAAUUUUUACCAAUAUUCAGUUUCUGUAUCGUUUAGUAGUCUGAUAUUCUUACUGGGUUAGUGUAACUCACUAUUUCAUGAACUAUUUCAUAUCAAGAGAACCAAGAUCCAGAUCCUGAUCAACAAGAGAGUUGUGAAUAGUUCACCACCCGAAUUCCCUUCAAAAUCUAGUGAAAGUCGUUAUAGAAUGCUCAGUAUAUUGUUUCUUAUUUAUUUAUUUGAUUUUCGUUUGUUUAUUU
RNAcentral lists this long non-coding RNA (248 nucleotides) under Carica papaya (papaya). RNAcentral describes it as "long non-coding RNA (CPAP_LNC010573)". Lineage: Eukaryota; Viridiplantae; Streptophyta; Magnoliopsida; Brassicales; Caricaceae. The record is from RNAcentral.